AUUGAACGCUGGCGGCAUGCCUUACACAUGCAAGUCGAACGGCAGCACGGGAGCAAUCCUGGUGGCGAGUGGCGAACGGGUGAGUAAAGUAUCGGAACGUGCCCAGUCGUGGGGGAUAACGUGGCGAAAGUUACGCUAAUACCGCAUACGAUCUAUGGAUGAAAGCGGGGGAUCGCAAGACCUCGCGCGAUUGGAGCGGCCGAUAUCAGAUUAGGUAGUUGGUGGGGGAAAGGGUCACCAAGCCGACGAACUGUAGCUGGUCUGGGAGGACGACCAGCCAAACUGGGACUGGGACACGGCCCAGACUCCUACGGGAGGCAGCAGUGGGGAAUUUUGGACAAUGGGCGAAAGCCUGAUCCAGCCAUGCCGCGUGCAGGAUGAAGGCCUUCGGGUUGUAAACUGCUUUUGUACGGAACGAAAAGGUUUGGCCUAAUAAGCUGAGCUCAUGACGGUACCGUAAGAAUAAGCACCGGCUAACUACGUGCCAGCAGCCGCGGUAA
This 500-nucleotide ribosomal RNA is filed under the name uncultured bacterium. RNAcentral's name for it is "partial 16S ribosomal RNA". It matches the Rfam family "Bacterial small subunit ribosomal RNA", at positions 29 to 523 of the family's 1533-position model. The record is from RNAcentral.